ACUCAAAGGAAUUGACGGGGGCCCGCACAAGCGGUGGAGUAUGUGGUUUAAUUCGACGCAACGCGAAGAACCUUACCGGGGCUUGACAUGCACAGGACAGGCGUGGAAACACGCUCUCCCUUCGGGGUCUGUGCACAGGUGCUGCAUGGCUGUCGUCAGCUCGUGUCGUGAGAUGUUGGGUUAAGUCCCGCAACGAGCGCAACCCUUGCCCUUAGUUGCCAUCAUUCAGUUGGGAACUCUAAGGGGACUGCCGGUGAUAAGCCGGAGGAAGGUGGGGAUGACGUCAAGUCCUCAUGGCCCUUACGCCCCGGGCUACACACGUACUACAAUGGCCGGUACAGAGGGUCGCAAUGUCGCGAGACGGAGCCAAUCCCAAAAAGCCGGCCUCAGUUGGGAUCGUAGUCUGCAACUCGACUACGUGAACGCGGAAUCGCUAGUAAUCGCGGAUCAGCACGCCGCGGUGAAUACGUUCCCGGGCCUUGUACACACCGCCCGU
RNAcentral lists this ribosomal RNA (496 nucleotides) under uncultured bacterium. RNAcentral's name for it is "partial 16S ribosomal RNA". It matches the Rfam family "Bacterial small subunit ribosomal RNA", at positions 899 to 1397 of the family's 1533-position model. The record is from RNAcentral.